ACUGUACAGGCUGUAUCUUGCUGUAUAAGACUGUAGCUUUCUGUCUGGUUUAAGUAUAUGUUUUUGGUGUUGUUGUGUCGUUCUGUAUCUAUGCGUGGAAUGGACUCAGUGGAGUUGUCUCAUGUUUGUUCUAGACUAGAACUUCUAGUGAUUGUCAUCUCUCUUGUUCUGUGUGCCUUGUUUCUAAGACUGUAGCUUGAUGUCUGGUUUAAGUAUAUGUUUUUGGUGUUGUUGUGUCGUUCUGUAUCUAUGCGUGGAAUGGACUCAGUGAAGUUGUCUCAUGUUUGUUCUAGUCUAGAACUUCUAGUGAUUGCCAUCUCUCUUGUUCUGCGUGCCUUGUUUCUAAGACUGUAGCUUGCUGUCUUGUUUAAGUAUAUGUUUUUGGUGUUGUUGUGUCGUCCUGUAUCUAUGCGUGGAGUGGACUCA
RNAcentral lists this long non-coding RNA (426 nucleotides) under Brassica napus (rape). Its description in RNAcentral is "long non-coding RNA (BNAP_LNC013936)". Lineage: Eukaryota; Viridiplantae; Streptophyta; Magnoliopsida; Brassicales; Brassicaceae. The record is from RNAcentral.